GUGGGCGUGGCGAAGAAGCUAACGCGGCCGGCUGCAACCCGGUUACUCGGGGGUGCGAAUCCCUCCGCCCACU
RNAcentral lists this transfer RNA (73 nucleotides) under Actinomycetota bacterium. Its description in RNAcentral is "tRNA-Cys". It matches the Rfam family "tRNA". From Rfam's summary of the family: Transfer RNA (tRNA) molecules are approximately 80 nucleotides in length. Their secondary structure includes four short double-helical elements and three loops (D, anti-codon, and T loops). Lineage: Bacteria; Bacillati; Actinomycetota. The record is from RNAcentral.